ACGGGGGGGGUAAGCGUUGUUCGGAAUUACUGGGCGUAAAGGGCUCGUAGGCGGCCAACUAAGUCGGACGUGAAAUCCCUCAGCUUAACUGGGGAACUGCGUCCGAUACUGGAUGGCUUGGAUUUGGGAGAGGGAUGCGGAAUUCCAGGUGUAGCGGUGAAAUGCGUAGAUAUCUGGAGGAACACCGGUGGCGAAGGCGACGUCCUGGACCGGCAUUGACGCUGAGGCGCGAAAGCCAGGGGAGCAAACGGGA
This 253-nucleotide ribosomal RNA is filed under the name uncultured prokaryote. RNAcentral describes it as "partial 16S ribosomal RNA". It matches the Rfam family "Bacterial small subunit ribosomal RNA", at positions 525 to 777 of the family's 1533-position model. The record is from RNAcentral.